AACCGCACACAUCAAUGAAUGCAUGGUGGAGUGGGCGAAUCGGUGGAAUCGGGGGAGUCGGUGGCAGACUGACAAUUUUGACAAUUUUCGUUAUGCAAUAAAAAUGAUGUGCGGCGACAAAACUGUGCUACUCACUCACCGUUCAUCGCUUAUACAAACCGUUAUACUGACACAUUGCCCGCGGCCCAAUGCAUUUGUAAUGCCCCACGAAGGGGCAUUCAGACCGCCCGAAAAAGAGCAAAAAAGCGCCAUUCAGCGGACAUUUCAUUAAUGCUAAAUGCGGGCGAACGAGCUUUAGAACUCGGCUUUGCCUUCCAGAGAGAGGAAUCCUGCUCGAGCCGGAAGUUAAUUCAAAAUGAUGAUAACGCAUAUGGAAACGUAAUUGUUUGUGAAGUGUAGCAUGCGAGUCGCGGGGGAUCGAAUUAGCCGCUGAGUGGAUGGGAUUUCGGUUUAAAAUCCACCCCAAGAGUCGGCUUACAACCCCCGCGAAGGUGGAGCGAAAUUCAUUAGCGGUCCUGUUGGCAACUGGCUCCGUUGGCACCUGGCCGACACGCACUCUCGCGAAGAAGGCCGCCAAGAAUCCAAAGAGCCAGCUCCUCCCGCUCGCGAAAAUCCCCUAAAUCAAUUCAAUUCAAUUACAAAUCGCUCCCCUCCCAAACGGCAACCAAUUAGCCGACUGCCUGGACUAAAACGCGUUUUGGGUAGCAUACUUUUGUGGGCUCGCGGCGGAGGAAAAAAAAUCGCCUUUUAAUCAGCGCCCACGACGUCGGCUUAGCGGCUGAUUGGAUUGCGGGACGGAUGGGAUGCAAGGUGGCCGGGAGACAGCGCUUUUUGUUGCCUUUGUCCUUGUAUAAUUAAAACGGAGCCAAGGCAACCGGCAAAUCAAAUCGACGACAGCUGAGACGAAGGACCACGCUGUAGGAAACAAAAAACCAAGAACGCUUGCCAAAUUAUCCGAGUGCUAAAAAAUCCGGCGUUCUGCGGUAAUAAAUCUUCCUUCCAUUCGACUCCACUCCGCUCCAGUUUAAGUAAUUUCAAUUUUAUUUCCAGCUCGAGUUCGAGUUCGCAUCCGCGACCACAUACAAAAGUAAUUAGGAGGCAUUUUUUCACGUUCUGCUCGUUUCUUUCGCCGCGUUUAAUUAAAAUGGAUUUUUUGCUCGCGGAGCGCUAUUUAUUUAUUCGCGCGUUUCCUUGUGAUUUGAGUGUUGCGGUAAUUAAAAUGACAUUAUUCAAAGUUGCCUGGCGAAAAGGGUCGACCCCGAGAACUGGGCCGAAGGUCGUUGUCGCGGCUUGUUUGGCGCCCAGAUAGGCGUUUAUUACCAGCGCCAAGGCACCGACUAUCUAGAUGCCCCGCCCACCUCCGCGGAGAACUCUUUGGGAAGGUACGAAAUCAGAAAGCGAUUAGACUAAGAUUUGACUUUGAUGGGCUUGAGUUGAGAAGGGUUCGCUCUGCAUGUGGAGAGUCCUUCGGGAAGAGAGUAGUUCGCUGGCCGCACAGACAAAUUUAAUCCGCGUCCAUCGACGCCUCAGCCUCAGUUCAACAAACUCUUGUCUCGUCCAGAAAUUGUAACGGCGCCUGUAGCGACCAGAUAGUUUAGUUCGGCCUAGAAGCAUGCUUUAAAAUAUAUCUAAGCUCGGCUUAGUGUCUUAGCUAAUUACACAUAUGUUUGAUAAAUCAGCUGUAACAGAGAUGCAGUGGGAAGCUCGUUUUAGACAUCUGGUGUUAUCAUCUGUGGCGAACUUCCGACCAUACCCUAGCCUAACACUACCUAUAUUUGGUAAGGUUCUUUUCUGAUUGACAUCCGAUAUGAGCAGACGUGCCAAUUUUUCUCAACGUCAACAAAGUUUUGUUUAAAUACUAUAUAUUGAAAUCGUGGAAAAUAAUAAGAGGAAUAAGUGCAGCGAGCCUAGCUGAGUAAUAUUUUUGUGAUUAAUUUUGGAAAACUAUUGAGAUAUAUAUAUGAUAUAUAUAUUUCUCACGUGGCCAUCAAUACUGGCAUCCGUGGGAGCUCCCCUUCAAGACAGUGGGGGGCAUGAUUUAAUAUCGUGCCCCAAAUUAAAUCGGACAAGAAAAAUGAGGAGUUUCAACUGGAAUUAAAUUCAAGAAUGCGGCAUUAAAGAAGUGAUUUGGAGAGAUGUUUAACCCUCUCUACCCACGGCAGCAGCAGCAGCAGAUUUAGUAUAGCCAAAUAUGGACACAAAAGGGAAUAUAUAACCUGGAAUUGCUUUUAAGCCGCUACUGCGAUUUUUUUUAAAGUGAAAUAUUAUAAUUAAAAAUUUGAAAGUUUUGAAACGUGCCAAAGUGAAGAAAAUUUAAUGAAUCAAAGAUAGCAACAUGCCGUAAAAAUCAAGUUUAAGUGAUAUUUUCUAAAGUCUGAAUGAUUCAGUCUAAAACGUAAUAUUUAAAUUAAAUUAAAUUUAAAACUUAAUUUUUCACGAGUGGAGUUAUUUACGCAUCGAUUUUGUUUUGGAAAAUUCGCUCAACUAUGACUUAAAAGCGAUAAAUUAAAUAUUUAUUUUUUUUUUGUAAAUUUAAAUAUAAUUUGAAAAUAGCAACUUCUGAUAAGAAACAAUAGUGAAUAUUAAAUUUAAAAAUGUGGUUAAGUGAAGAUAUCACAGUCGCUUCUCAGUAAAAUAUGUAGGCCUAAAAGGGUUCCAAGUUAAAAGAUUUUUAUAGAAUAGUUUUGUGUUUUCGAGCCCCAAUUUCACCCUUUACAGCCACCUGCCCGGGAGAUCGAUCUUUCGCCGCUGGAACAACGUAUAAGCUGUGAGUUUAUUAUUCUCAUUAUUGCAUUUAUAUCUAUUCUAUUUAUAUCUUAUUGCGAAAUACUCUAUGAAAUAAUUUUUAACAAUCUACUUGAAUGAAACUGUGAAUUUAAAAGAACCCUGAACCGAUAGCCUCACUAAACUAAAUUAAAUUAAACAAAAAGAUAUCAAACAGAAUGAAGAUGAUUUAGUGAAAUAAAAAAAUAAAUUAAAGCAAUGAAAUUUAAAUAUCUAUUGUUAU
Long non-coding RNA from Drosophila ficusphila, 3007 nucleotides. RefSeq lists it as uncharacterized. Lineage: Eukaryota; Metazoa; Arthropoda; Insecta; Diptera; Drosophilidae. The record is from RefSeq and is a predicted model, not a curated record. The transcript is spliced from 2 exons.